Molecule: long non-coding RNA, 561 nt
Filed under: Cyanistes caeruleus (blue tit)
Lineage: Eukaryota; Metazoa; Chordata; Aves; Passeriformes; Paridae
Description: lncRNA (ENSCCEG00000006838.1)
Source: RNAcentral
UGUAUCACCAAGGGCCCUCACACAACGUGCUUGUGCCACGCAAAUCCCAGCCCCCCUUCAACAGCCAAACCCACUGGAAAUGGCAUGGAGCAGCCCCAAGCUUUGGGCAGUUGUAGCCCCUGACAUGCCCAGAGCCCUGUCGAGCAGGUGUUUUCCUUCAUGACUGUGCACCAGUGGGCUGCAUUUGGCUACCUACAGCAACUAUGUGCUGCUGCACUUGUGAAUUGUAUUAGUGAGUUUUCCUGGAGGACUUGUUUUAAUGUGUUUGCAUACAAAUCAACGAGCUUGUUGCAUCUGUCUGGAACAGCCACAGCAAGGUCUGCUUUGGUUUGUUACAGAGUAAAAUCUCAUGGGUUCAUGUCUGACAAAAACCCAGUCAUUUUCUUAGAGUUACCUACUGCUUUUCCCAGGAAAAAUGGGAGGGUCCUGGCUUCCUCCACUGCCAUUCUCACCUGCUCCUAUUUGACAUGUCAUGCACUGGAAGGUAUCUCAUUUGGCAAUGUAAUCGAACUGGAGAUUCAUAAAUCCAUAUCUAUUUUUAAACUGUAUUUAAGUUGGUAG